UACGGAGGGAGCUAGCGUUGUUCGGAAUUACUGGGCGUAAAGCGCGCGUAGGCGGCUUUGUAAGUUAGAGGUGAAAGCCCGGAGCUCAACUCCGGAACUGCCUUUAAGACUGCAUCGCUUGAAUCCAGGAGAGGUGAGUGGAAUUCCAGGUGUAGCGGUGAAAUGCGUAGAUAUCUGGAGGAACACCGGUGGCGAAGGCGGCGUCCUGGACCAACACUGACACUGAUGAGCGAAAGCCAGGGGAGCAAACGGG
This 253-nucleotide ribosomal RNA is filed under the name uncultured bacterium. RNAcentral's name for it is "partial 16S ribosomal RNA". It matches the Rfam family "Bacterial small subunit ribosomal RNA", at positions 524 to 776 of the family's 1533-position model. The record is from RNAcentral.